CCUACGGGAGGCAGCAGUGAGGAAUAUUGGUCAAUGGACGCAAGUCUGAACCAGCCAAGUAGCGUGCAGGAUGACGGCCCUCCGGGUUGUAAACUGCUUUUAGUUGGGGAUCAAAGGGGGCUCGUGAGCCCCGUAUUGUAUGUACCCUCAGAACAAGGACCGGCUAAUUCCGUGCCAGCAGCCGCGGUAAUACGGAAGGUCCGGGCGUUAUCCGGAUUUAUUGGGUUGAAGGGGGGCGUAGGCCGGCUUUUAAGUCAGCUGUGAAACUCCGCGGCUUAACCGUGGGAUUGCAGUUGAAACUGGAGGCCUAGAGUGCACACAGGGAUGCCGGAAUUCAUGGUGUAGCGGUGAAAUGCGUAGAUAUCAUGAAGAACUCCGAGCGCGAAGGCAAGUGUCCGGGGUGCAACUGACGCUGAGGCGCGAAAGUGCGGGGAUCAAACAGGAUUAUUUACCCCUGUAGUC
This 462-nucleotide ribosomal RNA is filed under the name uncultured bacterium. Its description in RNAcentral is "partial 16S ribosomal RNA". It matches the Rfam family "Bacterial small subunit ribosomal RNA", at positions 338 to 795 of the family's 1533-position model. The record is from RNAcentral.